This 322-nucleotide ribosomal RNA is filed under the name Escherichia coli. RNAcentral's name for it is "bacterial LSU rRNA". It matches the Rfam family "Bacterial large subunit ribosomal RNA", at positions 2679 to 2925 of the family's 2925-position model. Lineage: Bacteria; Pseudomonadati; Pseudomonadota; Gammaproteobacteria; Enterobacterales; Enterobacteriaceae. The record is from RNAcentral.
AAGCACGAAACUUGCCCCGAGAUGAGUUCUCCCUGACCCUUUAAGGGUCCUGAAGGAACGUUGAAGACGACGACGUUGAUAGGCCGGGUGUGUAAGCGCAGCGAUGCUUUGACUGCCCGGUAGCUAAAUGCGGAAGAGAUAAGUGCUGAAAGCAUCUAAGCACGAAACUUGCCCCGAGAUGAGUUCUCCCUGACCCUUUAAGGGUCCUGAAGGAACGUUGAAGACGACGACGUUGAUAGGCCGGGUGUGUAAGCGCAGCGAUGCGUUGAGCUAACCGGUACUAAUGAACCGUGAGGCUUAACCUUACAACGCCGAAGCUGUU